Molecule: long non-coding RNA, 219 nt
Filed under: Rattus norvegicus (Norway rat)
Lineage: Eukaryota; Metazoa; Chordata; Mammalia; Rodentia; Muridae
Description: long non-coding RNA NONRATT032787
Source: RNAcentral
ACUUGUUAAAUGUGCUUUCCUGCUUCCUAUUCUUGCAGAUCAGCCUUGAGUGAAAUUUGACAGAAGAUGUCCCCACAGUUUGCUCUGUGGAAGUGUAUGCCCCAUGGGAUCCUCCUUGCCUCACUCUUGAUAGUCAGCUGGGGCCAAUAUGAUGAUGAUUGUAAACUAGCUAGGGGAGGACCACCAGCUACCAUUGUGGCCAUUGAUGAAGAGAGUCGG